GCGGAAGCCUGAUGCAGCAACGCCGCGUGCGGGAUGACGGCCUUCGGGUUGUAAACCGCCUUCACCCAUGACGAAGCGCGAGUGACGGUAGUGGGGGAAGAAGCACCGGCCAACUACGUGCCAGCAGCCGCGGUGAUACGUAGGGUGCGAGCGUUGUCCGGAAUUAUUGGGCGUAAAGAGCUUGUAGGCGGUUGAUCGCGUCGAUAGUGAAAUCCCGGGGCUCAACCUCGGGCUUGCUGUCGAUACGGGUUGACUUGAGGAAGGUAGGGGAGAAUGGAACUCCCGGUGGAGCGGUGGAAUGCGCAGAUAUCGGGAAGAACACCGGUGGCGAAGGCGGUUCUCUGGACCUUUCCUGACGCUGAGAAGCGAAAGCGUGGGGAGCAAACAGGCUUAGAUACCCUGGUAGUCCACGCUGUAAACGGUGGGUACUAGGUGUGGGUCGCAUUCCACGUGAUCCGUGCCGUAGCCAACGCAUUAAGUACCCCGCCUGGGGGAGUACGGCCGCAAGGCUAAAACUCAAAGGAAUUGACGGGGGCCCGCACAAGCGGCGGAGCAUGCGGAU
This 562-nucleotide ribosomal RNA is filed under the name Propionibacterium acidifaciens. RNAcentral's name for it is "bacterial SSU rRNA". It matches the Rfam family "Bacterial small subunit ribosomal RNA", at positions 375 to 946 of the family's 1533-position model. The record is from RNAcentral. Lineage: Bacteria; Bacillati; Actinomycetota; Actinomycetes; Propionibacteriales; Propionibacteriaceae.